Long non-coding RNA from Parus major (Great Tit), 2525 nucleotides. RefSeq lists it as uncharacterized. The record is from RefSeq and is a predicted model, not a curated record. The transcript is spliced from 2 exons. NCBI's taxonomy places the organism in Eukaryota, Metazoa, Chordata, Aves, Passeriformes, Paridae.
UCAAUUAGACUGUGUCAUGACUGCACUCUUGCACAUACAUUCAUACCUUUCAGUUACUACAGUGGGAUUCUUCUCAAUACUACCAAAAGUUCAGGUUCCAGCCUCAGCUCAUCAUACCCUACCUCUGUGGUGCACAGUGUGAGGAAGCACUGAUGCCUACCUUUGACUAGGGGACUGUGUUCCAGAUGACUAAAGUCAGGUGAAGUAAAACCCAUUUGAAUGUGACAAAGGUACAUGUAAGCACUGAAUGAGAACAGACAGCCAGAGACAGCAAACCAACAUGUACUCAGCAUCCCAGUAACAAAUAAUAAUUGAACAUGAACAUUCCUAAUCUUAAAGUAGGAACCUGACAUCAAUUCCUGGCUGAAUUCUUACCUGGCUUUUUGCCUUUUUUUUUUCCUUUUUCUUUUUUCCUUUAGAAUAGCACAGUAAAUAUAGCUUUUUGAGGAUGCUUUGUCACCAUGUACUAUUGCCUUUUUAUUAUCCCUGGCCAGAGUAAUCAAAUUAGGACACUUAAUACUAAUGCUUUAUAUAAUCAUAGAUAUCCUUGUGUAGACUGUGGAUCAGUAAAAGCCUUUAGUUCAUAUAGUAUGGCAGUUUCAUAGACAUUUUUAGAUAAGGGAAUCUGUGUCAUUUUAUGAUGCUCCCUGUUCUGAAGGAAAUGGCUGACAUAUGUAAUGCAGACAGGAAUGUUAUUCUAUCUAAACUUUAAAACCAAGUAAUCUGAAAAACCAUUCACUGUAAAGACUUAAUGUUUUUGAAAACCCUGUUGUUUUGGUCCUAGAGAAUCUGCUAUGAAGAUGCAUUGUAUAUAUCUUUACAACUGACAUGAAGGAACACUUAUUUUUUUUGUUCCUGAGUUCUAAGUUUUUAAUUUUUUUCUUUUGAGGCACUAAAUAAUCCCCAGAAAAAGAUUAUUUGGGAUUUCCUGGAUACCACACAGCACAGACUUCUAGCCCUGCAGCUGGACCAAUAGUAUCUCUUAUCAUUUAAAAGAUGCAUCAGAUUUGAUCCUAGAUAAUUUAAAUGAAGACAGGUAGAAUCCUAAACCAAACACAUAAUAUUUAAUACUUCUGUAGGUCUCACAAGUUUUUCUCUCAGUGAAUUAAAAACUCAUCACCGUAUUUUUUUUAAGUCUAGUCAAGUAGGGUUUUUAAUGAUUUGGAAUCUUUAAAAAGAUACUUUAAAGUGCUGUGUCUGAUCUUCAAACUGGUAUAAAAUUCAUCAAGUUGGAAUGAUUUUUUUAGAUAAGAGCUCAAGUUUCUCUGACUUUCCUGCAGUGCUUGAUGUUACUCAUAUCCAAAUGGCAACAAUGUGUAGAGAAAUGUGAUAAUAAAAUCCAUUGAGUAAGGAGGUGUUAAUACAUAGCUGGUGAUGCAAAGUUUUAAAGGAAGCUAUUUUGUCAUUGUGAUCUGCUACUUACUGAAUGUUAUUUCUAAAGAUAGUUGGUUAUGAUUCUGUCAUGUAGUAAGUCCUGCAAUACUCUGGGUACUUGUAUUUUAAACUGUUACAUUCUUUUCUUUCAGCCUUAAGCCUUUGAAAGAUGCGUUUUUUAGAAUCCAUUUCUAUAUGGUGGUGCUCACGAUAUAUUGUAUAGUUUAGUGCAACACUGUACAAUUCUAUAUAAAAUAAUUGUAAUCAUUAAAGAUUUUCUCCAUGUCUACAUUUACAGUAUAAUCAAGAAGUCCCUCUGCUUACGUUGAAUCUAUGCACCAGCUUCUACAUGUCAUUUUUAGCAUCUGUGUCAAAUAGAGUUUUUCCAGUUUUAUAAUUGACCCAUACAGACUGUUGAUCCCUGCAUGUUUUAAAUUUUGCUGAAUAAUUUAGUGUGGUGGACAUGGUAUGUCACAUAAAGUGCAAAAUUAAUUCAUAGAUAGAAAAUUUAGAUAGCAGAUAAGAUUUUCUUUCUCACCAAUUAAGAAACAAAUCUAGAAGCCUAAAGGAUACUGAAUUGCACAGAACAAUAUAAGCAAGAAUAUUUCAAAUGAUGUAACAAUUCUGCUGAAGCCACGCACAUGUAGUCAAACCUACAUAAGCUGUUAUCAAGACAGUUAACCAAAACUACUGGUUGCUAUUAUGAACUGAAAACUUCUGCAGUAUAUUGAACCUGUAGCAUUAAAAAAAAUCAUUAAGUAGAAUAUUUGCCAAUGCUGCAAUGCGGAGGAGAGAUCAGAUAAGGAAGAGGACCUUAGACAACAUGAAGAGAGUAACACUUCCUACUUCAAUGAAUAAGACAACGCUAAUGCAUUAGUUACUUUAAAAUGAAAUUAUCUUUAUUAAAAAGGAUUCACUUUUCUGGAAUGGGUAUGUAUGAAAUAUUCAAAUCAGAAUAUAGAAAGAACUGUUAUCUAUAGUUGCUCUUUUACUGGCAAAUGGACUCAAUUCAAGAAAAUCUUAGACAUGAUUAUAAUCAGCCCUAUGUGUGGCUUCACUUAGUCUAAACUAUUACUUGAAGCAAUCACAAAAUUAAGCACAUGUUUAAGUGUUGGUUGAAUAAAUAUGACUUCACAAAUCAUAUGAAAAUA